This 464-nucleotide ribosomal RNA is filed under the name uncultured bacterium. Its description in RNAcentral is "partial 16S ribosomal RNA". It matches the Rfam family "Bacterial small subunit ribosomal RNA", at positions 339 to 795 of the family's 1533-position model. The record is from RNAcentral.
CUACGGGUCGCAGCAGUUAAGAAUCUUCCGCAAUGGACGAAAGUCUGACGGAGCGACGCCGCGUGGGUGAAGAAGGCCGAGAGGUUGUAAAGCCCUUUUCUGCUUGAGGAAUAAGCCUGGUAGGGAAUGACCGGGUGAUGACGGUAGGGCAGGAAUAAGCCCCGGCUAAUUACGUGCCAGCAGCCGCGGUAACACGUAUGGGGCGAGCGUUGUUCGGAAUCAUUGGGCGUAAAGGGCGUGUAGGCGGAAAUGCAAGUCUGGUGUGAAAGACCGCAGCUCAACUGCGGGGACGCGCUGGAAACUGCAUAUCUUGAGUUCCGGAGGGGGAGUUGGAAUUCCUGGUGUAGGGGUGAAAUCUGUUGAUAUCAGGAAGAACAUCGGUGGCGAAGGCGAACUCCUGGACGAGAACUGACGCUGAGGCGCGAAAGCGUGGGGAGCGAACAGGAUUAGAUACCCUAGUAGUC